GGGAUGAGAUGCAGUCUGAAGUACUUUCACUUUGCAUUUCCUGGGCGGGUGGGUAUCCAGUUUCCAAAGUACUAGCUGUUGAAGAUACUAUCUUUGGAUAUCUUUGUCAAACAUUAGGUGACUGUAUCUGUGUGAGUUUUUUUUCUGGGGUCUCUAUUCCAUUCCAUUGGUCUACAUGUCUCCUUUUGUACCAGUACCCACAGUUUGUUACUAUGGUUCAAUAGUGUUAUUUGAGCCUAGGUAUUUGUAAUUUUUCUAGUAUUUUUUGUCUACUUAUGAUUAAUUUGCUAUUAGGGAUCUUUUGUAUUUUCAUACAAAUUUCAGGGUUCCUUUAUCUAGUUCUUUGAAUCACUGGAAUUUUGAUGGAGAUUUUUGAAUCCAUCGAGCACUUUUCGUAAGACAGCUGUUUCACUAUUUUCAAUUAACCUAUGAAC
Molecule: long non-coding RNA, 434 nt
Filed under: Cricetulus griseus (Chinese hamster)
Lineage: Eukaryota; Metazoa; Chordata; Mammalia; Rodentia; Cricetidae
Description: lncRNA (ENSCGRG00015031260.1)
Source: RNAcentral